RNAcentral lists this transfer RNA (79 nucleotides) under Aigarchaeota archaeon. Its description in RNAcentral is "tRNA-Asn". It matches the Rfam family "tRNA". From Rfam's summary of the family: Transfer RNA (tRNA) molecules are approximately 80 nucleotides in length. RNAcentral also lists the same sequence under 1 other name. The record is from RNAcentral. Lineage: Archaea; Thermoproteati; Nitrososphaerota.
GGCGCGGUAGCUCAGCCUGGUAGAGCUACGGGCUGUUAACCCGUGGGUCACCGGUUCGAAUUUCCGGUCCGCGCCGCCA